GUCUUUUUGUUAAAAAUUUAAAGUCGGGCCUGCCCACUGAUAUUUUUAAAUGGCCGUGGUAUUUUGACCGUGCUAAGGUAGCAUAAUCAUUAGUUUUUUAAUUGAAAGCUGGAAUGAAGGGUUUGAUAAAAAAAUGACUGUCUCUAUUUAAUUUUAUUAAAAUUUUAUUUUUAAGUUCAAAAGCUUAAUUAAUAUUAAAAGACGAGAAGACCCUAUAGAGUUUAAUAAUAAGAAAUAAUUUUUAUUUUGGAAUUAAUUUAUUUAUUAUUUUAUAUUAUUUAAUUGGGGUGAUUGAAAAAUUUAAUAAACUUUUUUUAUAUUUUACCAUUGAUUUAUGAUUAUUUGAUCCAAUUUUUUUGAUUAUAAGAUAAAAUUACCUUAGGGAUAACAGCGUAAUUUUUUUAGAAAGUUCAAAUUAAAAGAAAAGAUUGCGACCUCGAUGUUGGAUUAAAAUUUAAUUUUGGUGUAGAAGCUAAAAAGUUUAAGUCUGUUCGACUUUUAAAAUUUUACA
This 511-nucleotide ribosomal RNA is filed under the name Zygogramma continua. RNAcentral describes it as "partial 16S ribosomal RNA". The stretch from base 384 to 511 matches the Rfam family "Bacterial large subunit ribosomal RNA", at positions 2473 to 2600 of the family's 2925-position model. The record is from RNAcentral. Lineage: Eukaryota; Metazoa; Arthropoda; Insecta; Coleoptera; Chrysomelidae.